Homo sapiens (human) is the source of this 1196-nucleotide long non-coding RNA. Ensembl annotates it as long intergenic non-protein coding RNA 1344. The record is from Ensembl. Lineage: Eukaryota; Metazoa; Chordata; Mammalia; Primates; Hominidae.
ACUGCAUGUCUAGUACUUUGGGGAUGCCCAUUCUCUCCAAGGCUCUCAUAGCCUAACUGUAGAGAAAAGGCUUACAUGUAUGACAUAUUAAGAUUGUAGAAACCAGCACCUGUGGGACCUCUGAGAGGGUCUGGAAUUAGGGUUCAGGUACCAUCCAUCUGUUACGUGCUUUGAAGAUGCCACUCCAUCUGUGGGAUUCAAUUUACAUAAACUGAAGACUAUUCUUCUGAGUUGAAGUGAGGAGAGGCAUCAAUCACACUGGAAAAUUAUUUGAUCUCCUGGAAGCAAAAAGUCCACCAUGAAGUUGUUCUUGCCAUGGACUUCUAGAGGAGCUGACUGUCCUUUGGGAAGCUACAAAUACAGCCUUAAAAUCUGUUAGCAGGGAAGAGAGGCUUUUUCUGAGUGAUCAGGAAUGAAGAAGCAGAGAUCAUGCAAGGUGUUUCCAUCCAAAAGUAGGCAUCUCAUGUCAUCUGCUCUGGCCAGUAUUUAACCUUGAGAAAAGAAGAAGUGUAGAGAUGAUGUACUUGCCUGAGGGAUGGAUUAAAAAGUCUUUGGUCUUCUCUGAACGGUACUACUGAAUUUAUCCUCAUCACCGUCAUCAUUGUCAUUGUCAUCAUCAUCAUGAAAACAGGAGCAGAGAGAGGAAUGCUAUGAAGCUAUUAUUGUUCAAAAAAGACCUGGAGACAGCGGAUUGAAAAUCUCACAGCCAAAACGCAAUCUGGUGACUACCUUCUCUGGCUCUCAUUUGCUGACUUUGGAAGUUUGAAAAGGCUCCUCAUUAGGCCACAGAUGCACCGCGGACCUGUUCUUCCUUUUGGGUUGGCAGGCGCAAAGCCCCAUUAGCAGUAAUGUGCACCAGUGGGACUCCAGGGAGAGGAAGAAAGCUGAAAGGGCUGGAGUUCCUGGUCCAAUUUUUAAAGAAAACAAGAGAAUAAAAGGCCCAUAAAACUCAGAAACACUUCUUCCCUUGGCUCAUUCACAUGGAAAUGCAAGUCUGAUGAUCAUGGACAAGGAGGUGAUGGCUCCAGGAGCAGGGGUCAGGGUGACCUCCAGCUCCUCAACUCCAGCCCUGUGUGCACCAGCAAGGUUCACCCCCAAGCCACCAGUGCCAAAUGGAAAAACUUUAUUGUCAUGUCUUUGAACACUUGGCAGGAAGUACCACGGGUGUUCCAAUUAUUAAACUAAUAAGCACUCGA